Molecule: long non-coding RNA, 574 nt
Filed under: Panax ginseng (ginseng)
Lineage: Eukaryota; Viridiplantae; Streptophyta; Magnoliopsida; Apiales; Araliaceae
Description: long non-coding RNA (PGIN_LNC018910)
Source: RNAcentral
UACAAUCAAAAUCACAUUAUUUUUUUAUAAUUUAUUCUUUUCCUUUCUUUUAAUGUUCUACUGCUCAUCUUCUCCACAAAUCAGAUCUUCUCCACAAAUCUUUUCCUUUAUUCUACUGUUCAUCUCCUCCACAAAUCCCAACAAAAAGCUCGUUUAUUCUACUGUAAACCACCGACAAUGACACCGGAAAUAAAAAACACGAAAUAGGAGGAGAUCUGGGCGGUGGAGGAGGUGGGGGCGGCGACGGUGGAAAUCUAGGCGGUGGAGGAGGAGGCGACGGUGGAAAUCUGGGCGGCGGAGGCGGCGGACAUGGAUCCGGAGGAUCUGGCGACGACAAAUAGGAGGAGAUACCGGCGACGGUGGAAGGCUUGGAGGGAGGAUGAGGAGGAGGGCUUGGGAGGAAGAGGGGGAAGGAGUUUGUGAGGCGUGGUCAUCUGAUGUUGGGAAGGCGAGUGGUGGAGGAGAUACGACACUGAUAGUGGGAAGGUCCCUGGGAUUAUUUGUAUUAUUUAGAAGGAGUUUUAAAAAUAAAAAUAAUUAUUAAAAAAAAGGAAAAAAUAAAAUGAAAGAUUUU